RNAcentral lists this long non-coding RNA (1111 nucleotides) under Sus scrofa (pig). Its description in RNAcentral is "lncRNA (ENSSSCG00015050578.1)". The record is from RNAcentral. Lineage: Eukaryota; Metazoa; Chordata; Mammalia; Artiodactyla; Suidae.
CAUCCGUUCAUACAGGGAGAUACCAUCUCCUUCUGCCAUGGGUGAGAGAAUUUUUCUAAGACGUAACCGGAAGAAUCGAUUUGCUGGGUUGUGGAGCGUGUGCAUCGUUUACUUUACANNNNNNNNNNNNNNNNNGCUCCCCGGGGUCCUCUGCCGGGCUGGUGGGGAGCACAGGAGCGCCAGCUGUGGCCAUGAAGACACCGUCCACAUGAGCCUGACAACCCUGGAAGGCCUGGCCCCCCCUGAGGCCCAGCCUGAAGCAGGAGACCUGGAGCCAGAGGCCAAGACGCCAGCCGAGCGGAAAGACCCUGGAGCAGCCCCCAGAGGAGGUCCAGAACCACAGGAGGACUCAGCACCCGGGCAGGGAGGACCUCUGGCUCUUUCAGAGGGACACUCACAUCCUCAUGGGGACUCACCCCCCGGGGAGGAUGAACCCUCUGCUCCUCUCCCAAGAGGCCCAGCUCCUCUUGAGGAGCCACCACCCGGGCAGGGUGGAACCAUGGCGCCUCCUGCAGGAGGACCAGGCCCCCAGGAAGACUCAGCCCACGGGCAGGCUCAACCUACUGCUCCUCCGGAUGGAGGACCAGAGCCUCAGGAGACCUCACCUCCCGGGCAGGGAGGUGAUGAAAAUCCUGCUCCUCCUACAGGAGGACGAGGCUCUCAGGUGGACUCACCAGCCGGGCAGGAUGAAAACGCGGCUCCGGCCGCAUCCCCACNGGUCGGAAACGUUACCCCAGCCUUUGCAGGAGAACAAGGGCCCGAGGAGAAUGCAGCAGCUGUGCAGGUAGAGCCUGCCCUGACUGCUCCCGCACCCCCUGUACCAGGUCCUGGCCUGGCUCUUCCAAGAGCCCCAGGCCCGUUUCCAAAACCACCUUCCCCAAGGUCCCCUCUGCCCCUGCCAAUGCCUCCCCAUCAGCUCCCCGAACACCCCAUCCCCUUGCUCCCCCUUCUGACAGGGACUCUCCUUCCCCUCUCCUGAUUUCUCUUUGGAGGUGUGUCCAAUUUCUCUUCCUGUUUCAUAUGGUAUUAGUUUACUUUAUGUUUUGAGCCUAGAGUUUUUAGAAAGUUGAAAGAAAAUAAAAAUAAAUAAGGUAGUUAUUGAUAGGGAAGU